Molecule: ribosomal RNA, 443 nt
Filed under: uncultured bacterium
Lineage: Bacteria
Description: partial 16S ribosomal RNA
Rfam family: Bacterial small subunit ribosomal RNA
Source: RNAcentral
CUACGGGAGGCAGCAGUCGAGAAUCUUCCGCAAUGGACGAAAGUCUGACGGAGCGAUGCCGCGUGAUGGAUGAAGCACUUCGGUGCGUAAACAUCUUUUAUGAGGGAGGAAGUUUAUUGACGUUACCUCAUGAAUAAGAGGCUCCUAAUCACGUGCCAGCAGGAGCGGUAAUACGUGAGCCUCAAGCGUUACCCGGAUUCACUGGGCGUAAAGGGUGUGUAGGUGGCAUAGUUAGUCGUGUGUUAAAGCCCGGAGCUCAACUUCGGAAUCGCGCACGAAACGGCUACGCUAGAGGGUGCGAGAGGUCUGUAGAACUCAUGGUGUAGGGGUGAAAUCCGUUGAUAUCAUGGGGAAUACCAAAAGCGAAGGCAGCAGACUGGCGCAUUUCUGACACUGAGACACGAAAGCGUGGGUAGCGAAUGGGAUUAGAUACCCUCGUAGUC